AUAAUACUCGCUCCGUCCCAUAUUAAGUGACUUUCUAUUACAUGUAUCUAGACGCUUUUUAGACAUAGAUACAUCCAUAUUUAAACAAACCUGAGUCACUUAAUAUGGGACGGAGGAAGUAAGAA
Brachypodium distachyon (stiff brome) is the source of this 125-nucleotide non-coding RNA. Lineage: Eukaryota; Viridiplantae; Streptophyta; Magnoliopsida; Poales; Poaceae. The record is from Rfam.